This 253-nucleotide ribosomal RNA is filed under the name uncultured bacterium. Its description in RNAcentral is "partial 16S ribosomal RNA". It matches the Rfam family "Bacterial small subunit ribosomal RNA", at positions 524 to 776 of the family's 1533-position model. The record is from RNAcentral.
UACAGAGGGUGCGAGCGUUGUCCGGAAUCACUGGGCGUAAAGGGCGCGUAGGCGGCGCGGUAAGCGUGCGGUGAAAGCCCGGGGCUCAACCCCGGGUCGGCCGUGCGGACUGCCGGGCUGGAGCACUGUAGAGGCAGGUGGAAUUCCCGGUGUAGCGGUGGAAUGCGUAGAGAUCGGGAAGAACAUCAGUGGCGAAGGCGGCCUGCUGGGCUGUUGCUGACGCUGAGGCGCGACAGCGUGGGGAGCAAACAGG